UUUCUGAAGCACCGCCCUUUUUUCAGGAGGAUGGGCCUCAGGCGAACUGCACCGUGUCAGCACCCUCUGAUGAGAAUUCCACGCAAGGUGUUCUUGGUUACAGCGGCGAGAACUGUGGUCUGGGCAGCCGGUCAAGCGGAACAGAUCCGAGAUCACAUUAAACCAGUGAGCGCUCUGCGCCGCGUGCGCCCUUGGCGGUGGAUCUCUGCAGCAGAUGGUUCCUCAACAAACAUAUUCAACAGCAACUCAGACGCUCAGGCAGUGUUGCGGAUGGAGGAGGACGUGUGGGACACAGUCUGUGGAAUCAGAGGGACCAGUAACAAAAUCCUCUGCCACGUGAAGGGUAAGUGCUCUUGGCAAUUGCUUAGCCCCUUGAACCUCAGCUUCGUCAGUUCUAAAUUAGGGACAAUAACGAUCCCUACUUCACAGUGUUGGU
Molecule: long non-coding RNA, 436 nt
Filed under: Equus caballus (horse)
Lineage: Eukaryota; Metazoa; Chordata; Mammalia; Perissodactyla; Equidae
Description: lncRNA (ENSECAG00000046327.1)
Source: RNAcentral